This 507-nucleotide ribosomal RNA is filed under the name uncultured bacterium. RNAcentral's name for it is "partial 16S ribosomal RNA". It matches the Rfam family "Bacterial small subunit ribosomal RNA", at positions 28 to 507 of the family's 1533-position model. The record is from RNAcentral.
GACGAACGCUGGCGGCGUGCCUAAUACAUGCAAGUCGAACGCAUUUUCUUUCACCGUAGCUUGCUACACCGAAAGAAAAUGAGUGGCGAACGGGUGAGUAACACGUGGGUAACCUGCCCAUCAGCGGGGGAUAACACUUGGAAACAGGUGCUAAUACCGCAUAAUUCCAUUUACUGCAUGGUAGAUGGUUGAAAGGCGCUUUUGCGUCACUGAUGGAUGGACCCGCGGUGCAUUAGCUAGUUGGUGGGGUAACGGCCUACCAAGGCUGCGAUGCAUAGCCGACCUGAGAGGGUGAUCGGCCACACUGGGACUGAGACACGGCCCAGACUCCUACGGGAGGCAGCAGUAGGGAAUCUUCGGCAAUAGACGCAAGUCUGACCGAGCAACGCCGCGUGAGUGAAGAAGGUUUUCGGAUCGUAAAACUCUGUUGUUAGAAAAGAACAAGGAUGAGAGUGGAAAGUUCAUCCCUUGACGGUAUCUAACCAGAAAGCCACGGCUAACUACGUG